Molecule: long non-coding RNA, 450 nt
Filed under: Homo sapiens (human)
Lineage: Eukaryota; Metazoa; Chordata; Mammalia; Primates; Hominidae
Description: HSALNT0145796
Source: RNAcentral
CAGAACUGUCUCGGAAAGCCCUGGGAAAACAGGACAAAGAAACCUGUGUGAAUUUUCAGCUUUUCACCUUCUCUGAUUUUAUUUCUUCCUCACUCUUCCUUUGACAGUCCUCGCAGUCCGCCUGAGAGAGUAGAGAAGACCCCCUCCCAGAACCUUCCUGUAAGGUCUCCCCGCUGACUUCCUGUAGUGGAUGUGACUGUGUGCCAGGUGCCUGCCGAAGACCCCUGUCACUGACUGUGCCCUUUGGGAAAGAGUCAACAAUGGCCUCCUCCUAUGGCUGACUUCGUUCAUGUUCAGGCUCUCCAGCUUGCUAGUGAGAAUUGCCAAGGAUUGGUUCAUGGCAGGAUAGAACUAAACUGAUAGAUGAAAGCUCCACAGUGCUUCAAGACGGGGUCCCGUUCAUGUUAAGCAGUUUUCCUUCCUUCAAAAUAAAAAACUAGCAGUCCUUAG